ACUUGGGUUUGUUCCCUAACAUUUUCACCAAAUAUGGAAAAUCUGUUUUGGGAAUUGAGUAAGAGUGAGUAACAUUUAUUUUUGCAAAGCAAUUGUAUUAUUUAGGGCACAUCAGCCUUCCAUUGCAAAACAUCUCUAACCACCAGUAAGAAACUCACUAGUGUGCAGCCUUCUGUGUUCUCCUAAUUCUGCUUGAGAAAAGAGAAUGGAUGUUAAAAGACGCAAGGGCUUCCCUGCAGCUUCCCUUGGCUAAGCUUGAAGAGAACCAGGGCCUCCCUCAAACAAGACUGUCCACAUCACGACUGGCAUUGAGAUUGUUCCUUUCUACACUAAGGCAAGAGAUGUCCACUUAUUUUGAGACAACUGUGAAGUGUAUAUGCAGGAAGAUAUAUUAAUAGAGAGUGUA
This is a long non-coding RNA of Physeter macrocephalus (sperm whale), 406 nucleotides long. RefSeq lists it as uncharacterized. The transcript has 3 exons. NCBI's taxonomy places the organism in Eukaryota, Metazoa, Chordata, Mammalia, Artiodactyla, Physeteridae. The record is from RefSeq and is a predicted model, not a curated record.